Molecule: ribosomal RNA, 440 nt
Filed under: uncultured bacterium
Lineage: Bacteria
Description: partial 16S ribosomal RNA
Rfam family: Bacterial small subunit ribosomal RNA
Source: RNAcentral
CCUACGGGCGGCAGCAGUGGGGAAUAUUGCACAAUGGGGGAAACCCUGAUGCAGCGACGCCGCGUGAGUGAAGAAGUAUUUCGGUAUGUAAAGCUCUAUCAGCAGGGAAGAAAAUGACGGUACCUGAGUAAGAAGCCCCGGCUAACGACGUGCCAGCAGCCGCGGUAAUACGUAGGGGGCAAGCGUUCUCCGGAUUUACUGGGUGUAAAGGGAGUGUAGACGGCAGCACAAGUCUGGAGUGAAAUGCCGGGGCUUAACCCCGGAACUGCUUUGGAAACUGUGCAGCUAGAGUGCAGGAGAGGUAAGUGGAAUUCCUAGUGUAGCGGUGAAAUGCGUAGAUAUUAGGAGGAACACCAGUGGCGAAGGCGGCUUACUGGACUGUAACUGACGUUGAGGCUCGACAGCGUGGGGAGCAAACAGGAUUAGAUACCCGAGUAGUC